GUGCCAGCCGCCGCGGUAAUACGGAGGAUCCAAGCGUUAUCCGGAUUUAUUGGGUUUAAAGGGUGCGUAGGUGGCCUGUUAAGUCAGGGGUGAAAGACGGUAGCUUAACUAUCGCAGUGCCUUUGAUACUGACGGGCUUGAAUACACUAGAGGUAGGCGGAAUGUGACAAGUAGCGGUGAAAUGCAUAGAUAUGUCACAGAACACCAAUUGCGAAGGCAGCUUACUAUGGUGUCAUUGACACUGAGGCACGAAAGCGUGGGGAUCAAACAGGAUUAGAUACCCUAGUAGUCC
Molecule: ribosomal RNA, 292 nt
Filed under: uncultured bacterium
Lineage: Bacteria
Description: partial 16S ribosomal RNA
Rfam family: Bacterial small subunit ribosomal RNA
Source: RNAcentral